CUUCCGUAGGUGAACCUGCGGAAGGAUCAUUAAUGAAUUCACUAUGGAGUUGUUGCUGGCCUCUAGGGGCAUGUGCACGCUUCACUAGUCUUUCAACCACCUGUGAACUUUUGAUAGAUCUGUGAAGUCGUCCUUCAAGUCGUCAGACUUGGUUUGCUGGGAUUUAAACGUCUCGGUGUGACAACGCAGUCUAUUUACUUAACACACCCCAAAUGUAUGUCUACGAAUGUCAUUUAAUGGGCCUUGUGCCUAUAAACCAUAAUACAACUUUCAACAACGGAUCUCUUGGCUCUCGCAUCGAUGAAGAACGCAGCGAAAUGCGAUAAGUAAUGUGAAUUGCAGAAUUCAGUGAAUCAUCGAAUCUUUGAACGCACCUUGCGCCCCUUGGUAUUCCGAGGGGCAUGCCUGUUUGAGUGUCAUUAAAUUCUCAAACUCACAUUUAUUUGUGAUGUUUGGAUUGUUGGGGGUUGCUGGCUGUAACAAGUCGGCUCCUCUUAAAUGCAUUAGCAGGACUUCUCAUUGCCUCUGCGCAUGAUGUGAUAAUUAUCACUCAUCAAUAGCACGCAUGAAUAGAGUCCAGCUCUCUAAUCGUCCGCAAGGACAAUUUGACAAUUUGACCUCAAAUCAGGUAGGACUACCCGCUGAACUUAAGCAUAUCAAUAAGCGGAGGA
This 671-nucleotide ribosomal RNA is filed under the name Lentinus sajor-caju. RNAcentral's name for it is "eukaryotic LSU rRNA". The stretch from base 266 to 419 matches the Rfam family "5.8S ribosomal RNA". The record is from RNAcentral. Lineage: Eukaryota; Fungi; Basidiomycota; Agaricomycetes; Polyporales; Polyporaceae.